RNAcentral lists this ribosomal RNA (253 nucleotides) under uncultured bacterium. Its description in RNAcentral is "partial 16S ribosomal RNA". It matches the Rfam family "Bacterial small subunit ribosomal RNA", at positions 524 to 776 of the family's 1533-position model. The record is from RNAcentral.
GACAGAGGAUGCAAGCGUUAUCCGGAAUGAUUGGGCGUAAAGCGUCUGUAGGUGGCUUUUUAAGUUCGCCGUCAAAUCCCAGGGCUCAACCCUGGACAGGCGGUGGAAACUACCAAGCUGGAGUACGGUAGGGGCAGAGGGAAUUUCCGGUGGAGCGGUGAAAUGCGUAGAUAUCAGGAGGAACACCGGUGGCGAAGGCGGGUCUCUGGGCAGUAACUGACGCUGAGGAGCGAAAGCGUGGGUAGCGAACAGG